GACGAACGCUGGCGGCGUGCUUAACACAUGCAAGUCGAACGGAAAGGCCCUGCUUUUGUGGGGUGCUCGAGUGGCGAACGGGUGAGUAACACGUGAGUAACCUGCCCUUGACUUUGGGAUAACUUCAGGAAACUGGGGCUAAUACCGGAUAGGAGCUCCUGCUGCAUGGUGGGGGUUGGAAAGUUUCGGCGGUUGGGGAUGGACUCGCGGCUUAUCAGCUUGUUGGUGGGGUAGUGGCUUACCAAGGCUUUGACGGGUAGCCGGCCUGAGAGGGUGACCGGACACAUUAGGACUGAGAUACGGCCCAGACUCCUACGGGAGACAGCAGUGGGGAAUAUUGCACAAUGGGCGGAAGCCUGAUGCAGCAACGCCGCGUGCGGGAUGACGGCCUUCGGGUUGUAAACCGCUUUCGCCUGUGACGAAGCGUGAGUGACGGUAAUGGGUAAAGAAGCACCGGCUAACUACGUG
This 468-nucleotide ribosomal RNA is filed under the name uncultured bacterium. Its description in RNAcentral is "partial 16S ribosomal RNA". It matches the Rfam family "Bacterial small subunit ribosomal RNA", at positions 28 to 507 of the family's 1533-position model. The record is from RNAcentral.